This 818-nucleotide ribosomal RNA is filed under the name Salmonella enterica subsp. enterica serovar Montevideo. RNAcentral describes it as "partial 23S ribosomal RNA". It matches the Rfam family "Bacterial large subunit ribosomal RNA", at positions 711 to 1530 of the family's 2925-position model. The record is from RNAcentral. Lineage: Bacteria; Pseudomonadati; Pseudomonadota; Gammaproteobacteria; Enterobacterales; Enterobacteriaceae.
AGACCCGAAACCCGGUGAUCUAGCCAUGGGCAGGUUGAAGGUUGGGUAACACUAACUGGAGGACCGAACCGACUAAUGUUGAAAAAUUAGCGGAUGACCUGUGGCUGGGGGUGAAAGGCCAAUCAAACCGGGAGAUAGCUGGUUCUCCCCGAAAGCUAUUUAGGUAGCGCCUCGUGAAUUCAUCUCCGGGGGUAGAGCACUGUUUCGGCUAGGGGGCCAUCCCGGCUUACCAACCCGAUGCAAACUGCGAAUACCGGAGAAUGUUAUCACGGGAGACACACGGCGGGUGCUAACGUCCGUCGUGAAGAGGGAAACAACCCAGACCGCCAGCUAAGGUCCCAAAGUCAUGGUUAAGUGGGAAACGAUGUGGGAAGGCCCAGACAGCCAGGAUGUUGGCUUAGAAGCAGCCAUCAUUUAAAGAAAGCGUAAUAGCUCACUGGUCGAGUCGGCCUGCGCGGAAGAUGUAACGGGGCUAAACCAUGCACCGAAGCUGCGGCAGCGACGCUGAUGCGUUGUUGGGUAGGGGAGCGUUCUGUAAGCCUGCGAAGGUGGCCUGUGAGGGUUGCUGGAGGUAUCAGAAGUGCGAAUGCUGACAUAAGUAACGAUAAAGCGGGUGAAAAGCCCGCUCGCCGGAAGACCAAGGGUUCCUGUCCAACGUUAAUCGGGGCAGGGUGAGUCGACCCCUAAGGCGAGGCCGAAAGGCGUAGUCGAUGGGAAACGGGUUAAUAUUCCCGUACUUGGUGUUACUGCGAAGGGGGGACGGAGAAGGCUAUGUUGGCCGGGCGACGGUUGUCCCGGUUUAAGCGUGUAGGUGUGUG